Molecule: ribosomal RNA, 330 nt
Filed under: Telebasis salva
Lineage: Eukaryota; Metazoa; Arthropoda; Insecta; Odonata; Coenagrionidae
Description: partial 12S ribosomal RNA
Source: RNAcentral
UAAAUUUAAUAAAUAAAUUUACUUCCGAAUCCACCUUCAAACCAGAAUCAAAAAUAGUUAUUCGUAUAAAUAAAAUUAUUGUAACCCAUUUCUACUUAAACAUUAGCUUCACCUUGACCUGACAUUUUUAUAUUAAAUAAUUAAGAAAAUUUAUUCUAAAAAAAUAUUCUUAUGACAGAGGUAUAAAAACUGAAAACAAAUAUAAGUAAGUUAAAUCGUGGACUAUCGAUUAAAGAACAGGUUCCACAGAAAAGACUAAAAUACCGCCAAAUUCUUUGGGUUUCAAGAAUUUAACUAAUACUACCCAAGCAAAAAAAAUUAACAUUUAGU